AGCAGCCGCGGUAAUUCCAGCUCCAAUAGCGUAUAUUAAAGUUGUUGCAGUUAAAAAGCUCGUAGUUGAAUUUCGGGGUCAAUAAGUUGGUCAUGCCAAUGGUAUGCACUGGCUUUAUUGAUUCCUACCUCUUGACGAACUGUGAUGCCAUUAAUUUGGUGUUGCAAGGAAUCAGGACUGUUACCUUGAAAAAAUUAGAGUGUUUAAAGCAAGCUUACGCUUGAAUACAUUAGCAUGGAAUAAUGAAAUAGGACGUUUGAUCCUAUUUUGUUGGUUUCUAGGAUCGACGUAAUGAUUAAUAGGGAUAGUUGGGGGCAUUAGUAUUCAAUUGUCAGAGGUGAAAUUCUUGGAUUUAUUGAAGACUAACUACUGCGAAAGCAUUUGCCAAGGAUGUUUUCAUUAAUCAAGAACGAAAGUUAGGGGAUCGAAGACGAUCAGAUACCGUCGUAGUCUUAACCAUAAACUAUGCCGACUGGGGAUCGGAUGAUGUUAAUUUUUAAUGACUCAUUC
Molecule: ribosomal RNA, 510 nt
Filed under: uncultured Glomus
Lineage: Eukaryota; Fungi; Glomeromycota; Glomeromycetes; Glomerales; Glomeraceae
Description: SSU rRNA
Rfam family: Eukaryotic small subunit ribosomal RNA
Source: RNAcentral